This 917-nucleotide ribosomal RNA is filed under the name uncultured archaeon. Its description in RNAcentral is "bacterial SSU rRNA". It matches the Rfam family "Archaeal small subunit ribosomal RNA", at positions 1 to 922 of the family's 1478-position model. The record is from RNAcentral.
UUUCCGGUGAUCCUGCCCGGAGGUCACUGCUAUUGGGAUUCGCGUAAGCCAUGCGAGUCGAGAGGGUUCGGCCCUCGGCUGACGGCUCAGUAACGCGUAGUCAACCUACCCUAUGGACGGGGAUAACCUCGGGAAACUGAGAAUAAUACCCGAUAGAACAUUAUACCUGGAAUGGUUUAUGUUUCAAAUAAUUUAUUGCCGUAGGAUGGGACUGCGGCCUAUCAGUUUGUUGGUGAGGUAAUGGCCCACCAAGACUAUUACAGGUACGGGCUCUGAGAGGAGUAGCCCGGAGAUGGGUACUGAGACACGGACCCAGGCCCUAUGGGGCGCAGCAGGCGAGAAACCUUUGCAAUGUGCGCAAGCACGACAAGGUUAAUCCGAGUGUUUCCUGCUAAAGGAAUCUUUUGUUAGUUCUAAAACCACUGAUGAAUAAGGGGUGGGCAAGUUCUGGUGUCAGCCGCCGCGGUAAAACCAGCACCUCAAGUGGUCAGGAGGAUUAUUGGGCCUAAAGCAUCCGUAGCCUGUUCUAUAAGUUUCCGGUUAAAUCCAUUAGCUCAACUAAUGGGCUGCCGAAAAUACUGUGGAACUAGGGAGUGGGAGAGGUAGACGGUACUCGGUAGGAAGGGGUAAAAUCCUUUGAUCUAUUGAUGACCACCUGUGGCGAAGGCGGUCUACCAGAACACGUUCGACGGUGAGGGAUGAAAGCUGGGGGAGCAAACCGGAUUAGAUACCCGGGUAGUCCCAGCUGUAAACGAUGCAGACUCGGUGAUGCGCUGGCUUGUGGCCAGUGCAGUGCCGCAGGGAAGCCGUUAAGUUUGCCGCCUGGGAAGUACGUACGCAAGUAUGAAACUUAAAGGAAUUGGCGGGGGAGCACCACAAGGGGUGAAGCCUGCGGUUCAAUUGGAUUCAACGCCGGG